This 54-nucleotide transfer RNA is filed under the name Diurodrilus subterraneus. RNAcentral's name for it is "tRNA-Ile". The record is from RNAcentral. Lineage: Eukaryota; Metazoa; Annelida; Polychaeta; Eunicida; Diurodrilidae.
GGCGCCUCGCCGGAUGAACGGAUAACUUUGAUAGAGUUAAUUAUAAAGGCACCU